This 422-nucleotide ribosomal RNA is filed under the name uncultured archaeon. Its description in RNAcentral is "partial 16S ribosomal RNA". It matches the Rfam family "Archaeal small subunit ribosomal RNA", at positions 323 to 746 of the family's 1478-position model. The record is from RNAcentral.
CUACGGGCCGCUCCAGGCGAGAAAACUUUGCAAUGUGCGAAAGCACGACAAGGUUAAUCCGAGUGGUUUCUGCUAAAGGAACCUUUUGACAGUCCUAGAAACACUGUUGAAUAAGGGGUGGGCAAGUUCUGGUGUCAGCCGCCGCGGUAAAACCAGCACCUCAAGUGGUCAGGAUGAUUAUUGGGCCUAAAGCAUCCGUAGCCGGCUCUGUAAGUUUUCGGUUAAAUCUGUACGCUCAACGUACAGGCUGCCGGGAAUACUGCAGAGCUAGGGAGUGGGAGAGGUAGACGGUACUCGGUAGGAAGGGGUAAAAUCCUUUGAUCUAUUGAUGACCACCUGUGGCGAAGGCGGUCUACCAGAACACGUCCGACGGUGAGGGAUGAAAGCUGGGGGAGCAAACCGGAUUAGAUACCCCUGUAGUC